Molecule: long non-coding RNA, 1094 nt
Organism: Neoarius graeffei (lesser salmon catfish)
Lineage: Eukaryota; Metazoa; Chordata; Actinopteri; Siluriformes; Ariidae
Exons: 5
Source: RefSeq, a predicted model, not a curated record
CUUUGUGGUUCGGCCUUAGCAAUUUAAAACCAUUGUUGAAUAAUCCCUGGAAUGUAAGGGGUUAAAUAUUCGGUCAACAUGCAUAUCUGUUUUGUAUGGAGAAUGCUGGUGACCGAAAAUGUUUUUUCACUGUUGGUGGCACUUUUUGCACUGCUUGCUUGAGUGCGCAAGUUCCACUUCUUGCUACUGGGGAUCAGGGAAAUGUGCGAUUGGUUAGAUCAGGUAUGACGCAUCAUCAUCUGGCGCGAGGUUGAAGUGUACAGUCAGUGCUUAGUGCGUCGUGCAUCUCAUUCUUGGGCAGGAUUAUGUUGGCGACAGUCAGACACGAGCCUAUGCUCAGGCAGCGCACAAAGCAGCUUCUGAACCAUUGAAACGGUAAGUUCUGUUGAUUAUCCUUCAAUUAGCCUACAUGUAACCUCAGCACUGUUAAUAUAUUACUGUGGUAAAUUUUAAUUGGGGAUUUUUCGUCAAAAUUCAGGCGGACCAUCAACCAGAGGCGAACUAAGCAUAACGGCAUCCUAUUCAGCCAAACGGUUGAUGGAUGAUGGACAAUGACAGGUUUCAGAUCGAAUGUUGCCUGGACUACUGAUGACCAUUCCAUGGCCUUCUGGCCAUCUUAUGCAGAUCCCAAUCAAAAUGGCAUUACUGAUGCAUGAAGUCCUUGGACCAUCGUGGACCACCCACACCAUUGUAAUUUUGGGCACUGCAGGACGUACCUAAGGCGUGGGACUAGUAGAACAUAAACGGCACCAACUACGUCAGCACAUCCCCCAGUAUUGUGGCUCCUGCUGGGCAAACGGCAGCAGCAGUGCCAUGGUGCUGGUCUUCGCUGGAUUUGCCACGCUUUGUUUUUUACUCACCUAAGACAGUAAUUGCUCCAUAUCUGAUGUCAUUGGUAUCAAAACAUAUUUUUGGCGACAUCUGACAAGUGAUACAUUUGAUCUGUAUUUUCUAGAUGACUGGCUUUAUAAAAUCCAAUGUCCUUUGAGUCCAUGGGGCUGAAGAACAGUGACUAGUUUCAAAAACCUCCUAAAAAGUUAUGUACGUUUUUUUUGUGUUCCCUCAUCGCGAGUGAGGCAAGGUGGCAAUUGUUG